RNAcentral lists this ribosomal RNA (499 nucleotides) under uncultured bacterium. Its description in RNAcentral is "bacterial SSU rRNA". It matches the Rfam family "Bacterial small subunit ribosomal RNA", at positions 29 to 518 of the family's 1533-position model. The record is from RNAcentral.
AUGAACGCUAGCGACAGGCUUAACACAUGCAAGUCGAGGGGUAACAGGGUAGCAAUACCGCUGACGACCGGCGCACGGGUGAGUAACGCGUAUGCAACCUGCCUAUAACUGGGGAAUAGCUCCCUGAAAGGGGAAUUAACACCGCAUAACACUAUUGAUUCGCAUGGAUUAGUAGUUAAAUGUAGCGAUACAGGUUAUAGAUGGGCAUGCGUGACAUUAGCUAGUUGGUGAGGUAACGGCUCACCAAGGCUACGAUGUCUAGGGGUUCUGAGAGGAAGGUCCCCCACACUGGUACUGAGACACGGACCAGACUCCUACGGGAGGCAGCAGUGAGGAAUAUUGGUCAAUGGGCGCAAGCCUGAACCAGCCAUGUCGCGUGCAGGAAGACUGCCCCCUAUGGGUUGUAAACUGUCUUUUAUAGUAGAAGAAACACAUCUACGUGUAGAUGUCUGCCAGUAUACUAUGAAUAAGCAUCGGCUAACUCCGUGCCAGCAGCUGC